This 460-nucleotide ribosomal RNA is filed under the name uncultured bacterium. RNAcentral describes it as "partial 16S ribosomal RNA". It matches the Rfam family "Bacterial small subunit ribosomal RNA", at positions 338 to 795 of the family's 1533-position model. The record is from RNAcentral.
CCUACGGGAGGCAGCAGUGAGGAAUAUUGGUCAAUGGGCGCGAGCCUGAACCAGCCAAGUCGCGCGCAGGAUGACUGCCCUACGGGUUGUAAACUUCUUUUAUAAAGGAAUAAAGUGAGGCACGUGUGCCUUGCUGUAGGUACUUUAUGAAUAAGGAUCGGCUAACUCCGUGCCAGCAGCCGCGGUAAUACGGAGGAUCCGAGCGUUAUCCGGAUUUAUUGGGUUUAAAGGGUGCGUAGAUGGGUUGUUAAGUUAGUUGUGAAAGGUUGCGGCUUAACCCUGGAAUUGCCAUUGAUACUGGCAGUCUUGAGUACAGAUGAGGUAGGCGGAAUGUGUGGUGUAGCGGUGAAAUGCUUAGAUAUCACGAAGAACUCCGAUUGCGAAGGCAGCUUACCAAACUGCCACUGACAUUGAUGCUCGAAAGUGUGGGUAUCAAACAGGAUUAGAUACCCGUGUAGUC